Molecule: ribosomal RNA, 200 nt
Filed under: uncultured bacterium
Lineage: Bacteria
Description: partial 16S ribosomal RNA
Rfam family: Bacterial small subunit ribosomal RNA
Source: RNAcentral
AUUGAACGCUGGCGGAAUGCUUAACACAUGCAAGUCGAACGAUGAACCACUUCGGUGGGGAUUAGUGGCGAACGGGUGAGUAACACGUGGGCAAUCUGCCCUUCACUCUGGGACAAGCCCUGGAAACGGGGUCUAAUACCGGAUACAACACUCUCGGGCAUCCGAUGAGUGCGGAAAGCUCCGGCGGUGAAGGAUGAGCC